This 253-nucleotide ribosomal RNA is filed under the name uncultured bacterium. RNAcentral's name for it is "partial 16S ribosomal RNA". It matches the Rfam family "Bacterial small subunit ribosomal RNA", at positions 524 to 776 of the family's 1533-position model. The record is from RNAcentral.
UACGUAGGGUGCGAGCGUUGUCCGGAAUUACUGGGCGUAAAGCGCGUGUAGGCGGCCUGAUAAGUCGGAUGUGAAAGCCCUCGGCUUAACCGAGGAAGGGCAUUCGAUACUGCCAGGCUAGAGUACCGGAGAGGGUCGUGGAAUUCCUGGUGUAGAGGUGAAAUUCGUAGAUAUCAGGAGGAACACCGGCGGCGAAGGCGGCGACCUGGACGAGUACUGACGCUCAGACGCGAAAGCGUGGGUAGCAAACAGG